This 250-nucleotide ribosomal RNA is filed under the name uncultured bacterium. RNAcentral's name for it is "partial 16S ribosomal RNA". It matches the Rfam family "Bacterial small subunit ribosomal RNA", at positions 358 to 600 of the family's 1533-position model. The record is from RNAcentral.
GGAAUAUUGGACAAUGGGCGCAAGCCUGAUCCAGCCAUGCCGCGUGUGUGAAGAAGGCCUUAGGGUUGUAAAGCACUUUCAGUGGGGAGGAAGGGUGUUGUGUUAAUAGCACAGCAUUUUGACGUUACCCACAGAAGAAGCACCGGCUAACUCCGUGCCAGCAGCCGCGGUAAUACGGAGGGUGCAAGCGUUAAUCGGAAUUACUGGGCGUAAAGCGCACGCAGGCGGCUUUUUAAGUCGGAUGUGAAAG